Molecule: ribosomal RNA, 639 nt
Filed under: uncultured Actinomycetes bacterium
Lineage: Bacteria; Bacillati; Actinomycetota; Actinomycetes
Description: bacterial SSU rRNA
Rfam family: Bacterial small subunit ribosomal RNA
Source: RNAcentral
CGCGGCCUAUCAGCUUGUUGGUGAGGUAACGGCUCACCAAGGCAUCGACGGGUAGCUGGUCCGAGAGGACGAUCAGCCACACUGGGACUGAGACACGGCCCAGACUCCUACGGGAGGCAGCAGUAGGGAAUCUUGCGCAAUGGGCGAAAGCCUGACGCAGCAACGCCGCGUGGGGGAUGAAUGCCUUCGGGUUGUAAACCCCUUUCAGCAGGGACGAAAAUGACGGUACCUGCAGAAGAAGCUCCGGCCAACUACGUGCCAGCAGCCGCGGUAAUACGUAGGGAGCGAGCGUUGUCCGGAAUUAUUGGGCGUAAAGAGCUCGUAGGCGGUUCGGUAAGUCGGGUGUGAAAACUCAAGGCUCAACCUUGAGACGCCACUCGAUACUGCUGUGACUUGAGUCCGGUAGAGGAGUGUGGAAUUCCUGGUGUAGCGGUGAAAUGCGCAGAUAUCAGGAGGAACACCAGCGGCGAAGGCGGCACUCUGGGCCGGUACUGACGCUGAGGAGCGAAAGCAUGGGGAGCAAACAGGAUUAGAUACCCUGGUAGUCCAUGCCGUAAACGUUGGGCACUAGGUAUGGGAUCAUAUCAACGGAUUCCGUGCCGUAGCUAACGCAUUAAGUGCCCCGCCUGGGGAGUACGG